AGACUUUGAUCCUGGCUCAGAUUGAACGCUGGCGGAAUGCUUUACACAUGCAAGUCGAACGGCAGCACGGGAGCUUGCUCCUGGUGGCAAGUGGCGAACGGGUGAGUAAUGCGUCGGAACGUACCGAGUAAGGGGGGAUAACGCGGCGAAAGUCGCGCUAAUACCGCAUACGCCCUGAGGGGGAAAGCGGGGGAUCGCAAGACCUCGCGUUAUUCGAGCGGCCGACGUCUGAUUAGCUAGUUGGUGGGGUAAAGGCUCACCAAGGCGACGAUCAGUAGCGGGUCUGAGAGGAUGAUCCGCCACACUGGGACUGAGACACGGCCCAGACUCCUACGGGAGGCAGCAGUGGGGAAUUUUGGACAAUGGGGGCAACCCUGAUCCAGCCAUUCCGCGUGAGUGAAGAAGGCCUUCGGGUUGUAAAGCUCUUUCAGCUGGAGCGAAACGGUACGCUCUAACAUAGCGUGCUAAUGACGGUACCAGCAGAAGAAGCACCGGCUAACUACGUGCCAGCAGCCGCGGUAAUACGUAGGGUGCGAGCGUUAAUCGGAAUUACUGGGCGUAAAGCGUGCGCAGGCGGAUUGUUAAGCAAGACGUGAAACCCCCGGGCUUAACCU
RNAcentral lists this ribosomal RNA (614 nucleotides) under uncultured beta proteobacterium. RNAcentral's name for it is "bacterial SSU rRNA". It matches the Rfam family "Bacterial small subunit ribosomal RNA", at positions 8 to 615 of the family's 1533-position model. Lineage: Bacteria; Pseudomonadati; Pseudomonadota; Betaproteobacteria. The record is from RNAcentral.